UACGGAGGGUGCAAGCGUUGUCCGGAUUUAUUGGGUUUAAAGGGUGCGUAGGCGGCCAUUUAAGUCUGGGGUGAAAGCCCGUUGCUCAACAACGGAACUGCCCUGGAAACUGGAUGGCUUGAGUACAGACGAGGGUGGCGGAAUGGAUGCUGUAGCGGUGAAAUGCAUAGAUAGCAUCCAGAACCCCGAUUGCGAAGGCAGCUGCCUAGACUGUAACUGACGCUGAGGCACGAAAGCGUGGGGAGCGAACAGG
Molecule: ribosomal RNA, 253 nt
Filed under: uncultured bacterium
Lineage: Bacteria
Also listed under: 1 other name
Description: partial 16S ribosomal RNA
Rfam family: Bacterial small subunit ribosomal RNA
Source: RNAcentral